RNAcentral lists this transfer RNA (51 nucleotides) under Bisetocreagris titanium. RNAcentral describes it as "tRNA-Tyr". Lineage: Eukaryota; Metazoa; Arthropoda; Arachnida; Pseudoscorpiones; Neobisiidae. The record is from RNAcentral.
AAUAUACAAGCUUUAAGCAUUAAAUUGUAAAUUUAAAUUUUAAUUAUAUUA